UACGUAGGGUGCAGGCGUUAUUCGGAAUUACUGGGCGUAAAGCGUGCGCAGGCGGUUUUUUAAGUCAGAUGUGAAAGCCCCGGGCUUAACCUGGGAACUGCGUUUGAAACUGGGAGACUUGAGUGUGGCAGAGGGGGGUGGAAUUCCACGUGUAGCAGUGAAAUGCGUAGAUAUGUGGAGGAACACCGAUGGCGAAGGCAGCCCCCUGGGUUAACACUGACGCUCAUGCACGAAAGCGUGGGGAGCAAACAGG
RNAcentral lists this ribosomal RNA (253 nucleotides) under uncultured bacterium. RNAcentral's name for it is "partial 16S ribosomal RNA". It matches the Rfam family "Bacterial small subunit ribosomal RNA", at positions 524 to 776 of the family's 1533-position model. The record is from RNAcentral.